CGCACCUUUGUUCGGCACGGCGACGACGGCGAGCACUGCACGGUAGCGGUGCCCACCAGCUCGUCUCGCUGCAGGCGGACUCUCGUUGUGGUGCUCGCGGGCGGCGCUUGCUGGCGCAACGGCCGUCCAGUCAGGGUGCAUGGAAGGUUUGUGAGAUGUGGAUGAAUUUGUGGGUGGGUCGAGGAAUCUGUGGGUCGGAGUUGGAGUCAAGGUGGAGCUUAUCAUGUGGAUUUGGUGGAGCCACUUAUUGUGAAGGCUGGAGCAGUCAGGGAGAUCUAUGACAGUGUGAAAGAAGAAGCCAAGAUCGUCCCUGCUGAUAUGGCCAGCAGCAAGCAGCAAGCCUGUCAGUUUCUUGAUGCUACUAUGUCUCUUGUUUGCGUCUGCAAGUUCAGCUGGGUGACUACAUUUUCCUGCAUAGCAGUGAGAUAAUCUGUAAUUUUGCUCGUUUCAGACUUUCAGUGUCCUACCAGCUGCAUCAAGUCAAAGUUUGUUCAUCAUGCAAGCUCAUUUGGCUACAAGAGGAUGCUGCCAUUUCUCAUGGAGAACGGUGGCCAAGUUCAAAAAUUGUCUAAAUGCCAUCAAAUUGCUACUCAGAUACGUACAUACAAGUAUCCCACUUGAUUCCCUCCCUGUAUGUUUGAAUGCAUUCAUCAGUUCGUCAGACAUUUGCCUGUGUAUGUGCAAAUGCAAAAAUGCAAUACAUAUUCACGGUGCCG
RNAcentral lists this ribosomal RNA (716 nucleotides) under Triticum aestivum (bread wheat). RNAcentral's name for it is "partial small subunit ribosomal RNA". Lineage: Eukaryota; Viridiplantae; Streptophyta; Magnoliopsida; Poales; Poaceae. The record is from RNAcentral.